RNAcentral lists this ribosomal RNA (433 nucleotides) under uncultured bacterium. Its description in RNAcentral is "partial 16S ribosomal RNA". It matches the Rfam family "Bacterial small subunit ribosomal RNA", at positions 29 to 507 of the family's 1533-position model. The record is from RNAcentral.
AACGAACGCUGGCGGCAUGCCUAACACAUGCAAGUCGAACGAGACCUCCGGGUCUUUUGGCGCACGGGUGCGUAACGCGUGGGAACCUGCCCUUAUGGUCGGAAUAACUCUCCGAAAGGGGUGCUAAUACCGGAUAAUGUCUUCGGACCAAAGAUUUAUCGACUUUGGAUGGGCCCGCGUUGGAUUAGCUAGUUGGUAGGGUAAAAGCAUACCAAGGCGACGAUGCAUAGCUGGUCUGAGAGGAAGAUCAGCGACACUGGGACUGGGACACGGCCCAGACUCCUACGGGAGGGAGCAGUGGGGAAUAGUGGAAAAUGGGCGAAAGCAUGAUGCAGCAAUGCCGCGUGAGUGAUGAAGGCAUUAGGGUUGUAAAGCUCUUUUAACCGGGAUGAUAAUGACAGUACCGGGAGAAUAAGCCCCGGCUAACUACGUG